This 518-nucleotide small RNA is filed under the name Rattus norvegicus (Norway rat). Its description in RNAcentral is "uncharacterized LOC102548003". The record is from RNAcentral. Lineage: Eukaryota; Metazoa; Chordata; Mammalia; Rodentia; Muridae.
AAGCAAGCAGGGCUAUGAUUCUAAACUCUUCCUAAGAAACUGUCAUAUCUAUCCUCAUUUUCUAAGGGAGCUAAUGAAGCACAGAGGAGUUCAGGCAACUUGCCCAGGACAAACAGCUCUUCUCACAAACAAUUGAGGGGAAGAAGGGUUCGUUUUACCCCAGUUUGAAGGCAUAGUUCAUUGCGAUGGAGAGACAGUUGGAGAGUAAGGCUGUCACACUAUUAGUUAUGCACUGGCAUGGAAGGAUAAGUCCUCACACAAAGGAGAUGCUUCUCACGGAGCAUUGAGAGAAACCAUGGAAGACUGCCUUUCCUACUGUCAAGCAUCUAUGUCCCAGUCCUCUGACUUCUGCGUGAUAUUGCAAUCUCCAGGAAAGAAUAAACUUCUCUAUUUCACUCAAUGAUGGAUUCCAGAACUGGGACAGUGAUGGGCACCUAAGACAAAAAGGACACGAAGGCAUGACACUCUGGAACCUUCCUUUUCUUUUUAUGCACAUUAAAAAAAUGCUUAUGACAUAA